Molecule: unclassified non-coding RNA, 337 nt
Filed under: soil metagenome
Description: partial contains 5.8S ribosomal RNA, internal transcribed spacer 2, and large subunit ribosomal RNA
Rfam family: 5.8S ribosomal RNA (bases 1-120)
Source: RNAcentral
GAUGAAGAACGUAGCGAAAUGCGAUAAGUAAUGUGAAUUGCAGAAUUCAGUGAAUCAUCGAAUCUUUGAACGCACAUUGCGCCCGCCAGUAUUCUGGCGGGCAUGCCUGUUCGAGCGUCAUUUCAACCAUCAAGCCCCCGGGCUUGUGUUGGGGACCUGCGGCUGCCCGCAGGCCCUGAAAACCAGUGGCGGGCUCGCUGUCACACCGAGCGUAGUAGCAUAUCAUCUCGCUCUGGGCGUGCUGCGGGUUCCGGCCGUUAAAGCCUUAUUUACCCAAGGUUGACCUCGGAUCAGGUAGGAAGACCCGCUGAACUUAAGCAUAUCAAUAAGCGGAGGA